GAGAGAGAGAGGGAGAGAGGGAGAGAGAGAGCGAUGGAGAGAGAGAGAGUCAAAGAGACCGAGAAAUACCUAUAGCACUGUUCUUCUGCUUGUAAACUACCCCCCCCCGUAGGUGAGGAACAGGGACUUGAACUCCAGUCUUUGCUCAUAGUAAUGUGUGUGCUCUACCAAGUGCACACCCACACGACCCCUACGUCAGCCGCUUAACCAAUAGCCAUAUAGAAGACACAAGAUAGAUCCUGCUUUCAAGAAACUCAAGAGUCUGUGAGGAGAAAUGAACAACACAGAAACAGAAGUGAUUCUGACUCGGCAAGGCGGAGUGAGGCCUGAAGAGUUGCAGCUCGGAGAGAGAGGCUCCCAGGUGGUGCCAGUCAUGUUGGAGUAAAGACAACUCACAUUAUGAGGCAACGAGCAAGGACUCAGACCAGCCACAGCAGUCCCUGUCACAUCUACCAGGUUCCAGAUGCUGACAUGAUGUCAACUGGACCUCCCAUGGCAGACGACCUCACCAAUGAGUCUUGGAACCCCGCUCCCCCAGAGCUCUGCCCCACUAGAGAAAGAGAGAGACAGGCUGGGAGUAUGAAUCAACCUGUCAACACCCAUGUUCAGCGGGGAAGCAAUCACAGAAGCCAGACCUUCCACCUUCUGUACCCCACAAUGACCCUGGGUCCAUACUCCC
Molecule: long non-coding RNA, 679 nt
Organism: Erinaceus europaeus (western European hedgehog)
Lineage: Eukaryota; Metazoa; Chordata; Mammalia; Eulipotyphla; Erinaceidae
Exons: 4
Source: RefSeq, a predicted model, not a curated record